AAAUUGAAGAGUUUGAUCAUGGCUCAGAUUGAACGCUGGCGGCAGGCCUAACACAUGCAAGUCGAACGGUAACAGGAAACAGCUUGCUGUUUCGCUGACGAGUGGCGGACGGGUGAGUAAUGUCUGGGAAACUGCCUGAUGGAGGGGGAUAACUACUGGAAACGGUAGCUAAUACCGCAUAAUGUCGCAAGACUAAAGAGGGGGACCUUCGGGCCUCUU
RNAcentral lists this ribosomal RNA (219 nucleotides) under Escherichia coli. RNAcentral's name for it is "partial 16S ribosomal RNA". It matches the Rfam family "Bacterial small subunit ribosomal RNA", at positions 1 to 218 of the family's 1533-position model. RNAcentral also lists the same sequence under 1 other name. Lineage: Bacteria; Pseudomonadati; Pseudomonadota; Gammaproteobacteria; Enterobacterales; Enterobacteriaceae. The record is from RNAcentral.